RNAcentral lists this long non-coding RNA (7641 nucleotides) under Setaria viridis. RNAcentral's name for it is "long non-coding RNA (SVIR_LNC003370)". Lineage: Eukaryota; Viridiplantae; Streptophyta; Magnoliopsida; Poales; Poaceae. The record is from RNAcentral.
UACUUGAAGUACAUUUAUACACGUGCUCACUGCUCAAUCAACGACCUCAUCGCCUACCCAUGCACGCACACGCAUGUAGAGAGGACGUCUACUUGAAGUAGUAUGGGAGGUCGAGCACGUAGAGGAGGAAGUAGGCCCAGACCACGCCGGAGAUGCCGCCGAAGAAGAAGCCUCCGGUGAACUUGGCCCAGCCGUCGGCGGUCUGCAGCUUGUCGGCCUCCUUCUUGCGGCCGGUGAGCGUGAGCGUGGGCGCCGUGGACGGGUCGCCCUCGUUGAAGGAGGCGACGCCGUACAUGGUGAGGCAGACGCUGAGGAUGGUGACGAGCCCGGCGGCGCCCAGGGCGCCCGCCUGGCCGUGCACGGGCGUGUUGCGGAGCGGGCCGGUGAGGGCGAAGGGGCCCACGAGGAGGUAGCCGUGCGCAAGCCCGACCUCGAUGCCGCGGAGCAGCGGGCUCACGGCGGUGCGGUAGGCCGGGAGGUUGGAGAGGUACCAGGCGAUGAGCGGGCUGGAGGUGAUGGGCGUCUCCAGGCUGCCGAUGAAGGGGUCGCCGUUGAUGGGCUGCACCACCUGGUACGUUGUCUGCUCAAGAACAACAGACAGUUUCUAUCAUCAGAGCCAAAGAAUUUUGUUUGAUCAUACAAAGAUAUAUAAUUGAAUUGCUAAUGUUCAGAGCAUCAAAUUGUAUAUCCAAUUUCCAGUCCUGUGAGAUAGAUCAAAAUGAAUCACACAAGAUGACUGAACUGAAAUCAAGAUUCUAGCAGCAGCACACAUGCAAAGAACUGAUCGAUUUGGAAGCAUUUUGAAUGAAAUUGAUAAUUCAUGUUGCCUAUAGCCAAGAGCCAAAUCGAUCAAAACUAUAAAAAAGAUGCAUCACUAUUUCGUUGCUCAGUAGAUCCACUGACCUUCUCAGGCUGGAUGGCCUUCACGGUGAAGCGGGGCCGCCUGGUCAGCGCAGCGCCUGAAAGGCCCCUGGGCCUCGAGUGCACCAAGCCGCUCUUCAUCACCUGGCUCGCCAUGGGAGCGUACGCGGUAGCCAUCUCGACCUCUGCCUGUCUCUCACGAACAGGGCUCUUCCUUCCUGCAAAAUGGUAGAAGAGGUCUCCUUGUAUCGGCCCAAUUAAAGUUUGUGAUCUUUAGAUCCUGCAGGGGGUGUGUGAGAAGAUCUGUGGCGUGUUUGGAUGGAUGGGGCCCUGCAGCUGAGAUAUGGCUCAGAGCUGUGUGGCGCUCAUUGGGUGAAAGGAGCGAGCAACCCUAUCCCUUAUCCGAAUGCGUGGAGAUCUCCUCCCUCCACUGGACGCCUAGCUGGCGCCCCCAGCUUGCUGCCACGUGGAAACAGAAUCUGCUGUGCUUGUGACUUGGACUUCGUUUGGAUCGAUACUGAAGCAAUAUUUAUAUCUGCAGAAAGCAGAGCUGUUUGCGUUUUGGUAUUCGACUUGCACUUUCAAGUGACUUUGGGUUAGGGAAGUAAACUAUAAACCUGGGAUUUGAAUCAAACUUCAACAAUACCAGCUCCCAAUAACCAAGAUCCUUCCUGUACAAUAUAACAAAUAUAUUUUGGGACUUUGUCAAUUCGACCUCUGGUUAGCAUAGUACUGCACAAACAAAAUUCAUAUAGAAGGAAACUCUUCCACCAGACUAUGUCAUUCCACAUUGCCUGCGGUGACAAACUGCUUCAGAUGAAAAGAACUAUGCAAUCAAGUAAUGGCUCAGACCAGUGUUCAAUAAAUUUCCGCUUACAAAAGAAUCACUCACAUCGAGGCAUCAAGGCAUAAAAGAAUCAACAAAUGCCCUGUGAAUGGUUUACAACUCUCCAGCAGUUCAUGCUCCAGCAAAACUCAAGGGCCUGGGAGGUCGUUCCCAGUCCCCCAGAUGCUAUCUGACAUCGUACUGUAGGCGCUUGCUUUUCUGAAGACAGUCGUGGUAGCGGUAGAUGAGUCUCAGCAUGCAAUCCCUCAUGCAGGUGACAUCGAAGGAUUCAAUGAACCUCAGGUCUGACAAGCGGGAUUUGCCAGCAGCAUAGCGAUGGUACUCUUCAAAGACAGAUGAUAGGCACCAAUUCUGCAGCUUCCUGAAGCAGCCCACCAGACAUCCAGUGCGGUGCUGGAGUCAUGACAGAGAAAUCAAAUUCAAAGUCAGGACCAAACAAUCAAGAUUUGAGGCAAUGAGAAGAGAAAAUAAAAGAACCAUCAAUUUAGAAUAAAGAAAUGCAUUUAUUGGUACCUUUCCUCUUUUGCAGUGGAUUAAAACUGGGUGAUUCCUAACAUCUGAGAACCAUAAAAGAGAGCGAGUUACUGAUGGGUCAAAAUAGUUCCAUAUGAUCAUUUAACAUUAUUGGUCGACAGCAAAGACAAAUUGGAAAAGAUGGAGCCUAAUUCAGUACCAAGCAAGACCCUAAGAGCCCCCACGAUGGCAUCCACAGGUAUGGACACGUAUGGGUCCUGCAGAUGCAAACAUUUAAAUGUGCUGAACUUGCUGAUAUUGGAAUUCAAAAGAUCAGCAGACAACAAUAGUUGCUUCAAAUGAAAUUAACAGGAAUUAACAAUACAUAGGUCCCAAGUCACAGAUUCGGGUGUAACAACAAGAAUCAAAUAGAAGUCAGACACUGUGUACGCACAAGAAACUGCAUGUCUGUUUUCAGUAAUGCAGUAUCUGAAAGUGUACAAUACCAGAAGAAACAAACUGAUCCUUGACAAGGAAACUGUAUCCAUCUGUACCUGCAACAACUUAUUCAUAACUGUGGAUAAAGGGAGACAGAAUUUUGUAGUAGUCCUGCACUUGGAUACCAUAAUAGGUAAUUUACCAUCCACAUUUGCUUCCAAAUAGGCAAACACCAGAUUAAUGAGCACCUCAAAAACCAGCACAGCGGCAUUCAAACAAUAAAAUUAACAUUCAAUGUAUCAGAAUUUGGAAAUUUAUCUGUUGAUUAUCCACACCACUGCAUCUUUGACAAUUGAUGUUAAGAAAGUCCAAUGGUCUACUUUCCUAAAUUUUAUUAAGGCAAAGUAUUAAAAAUAAGGGAGGCAUCUGAUGCCUGCUCAACUGACAACAAUAAAUACCCUUUCGAAGGUACAUGGAUUCCUUUUACACAGUAAAGAAAAGCUAACUAUAACCACCAUUCAAUGUUCUAAAGCAGUAUACCUUUGGAUCCAUAGAUCUAUCUUAAGAACUACAAAACAUAUAAUAUAAGUGUACCGAUGUAUUUAUCAUCAAGACUGCAUACCUUUUGCAGUUGAAAUAUAAGCACUAAUUAUCAUUACCUCCAAGUUUGCGCUCUAAUUGGACAAUCCAACUUAAAACUAUCCUAUGACUGGAGGAGUGACUACCAAAGCUUCACAUAAUCCCAUCAGAUUUACCAAAGCAAAAAACAAUAGAAAAAACAUAUAGCUGUGCUGAGUUUUCCUUUCCCCCCAAAGAGCACAUUGAAUUCCACUACUGCCAGAGCGCAAUCGAGGUAAUCAAUCAAUUAAGUACUACGAACAACAUAUCAAAUAAACACGCAAUCUCAUAAGAAUCUUAGGGGAAAACGAGACAUAUAAUACACAAGGGAAGAAAAUAGGAAAUCAGACCCACCUUGGUGCCUUCAAUCCCGAACUGGAAGAGGCGGAUCCCCUCGGCCUUGAGGAACGCGGCGUUGGGCUCCGGGUACGGCUCCGGGCACAGGUACCUGCAGCACCGCCGCGUCAGCCACGGAGAUACGACGGCCCAUAUCGCCACCAAACACGACGCAGGAGGGAACCAAACGAACCGAUCGCAUCCAAUCCAAUAAUUCCAAUCUAACAAUUUCGAUUCGAGGUGGGGGGAUUUCGGCGGCUCACACGACGGAUCGGAGGCCGAGCCCCCGGAGGAAGCCGAAGCUGGCGGCGUCGGGGAAGCCCGAGCGGUAGACCCCCGCGUCCACCAUCCCGAAGUUGGCCGGCGGCGCCACCAGGCCCGUCCCCGCCCCCUCCUCGUCGACCUGCUCCAGGAUCAUGCCUGCCUCCUGGCCCGGCACCGGCCGGGGCCCCGCCGAUCCGAGGGCGGGUUCGGCGGCGGCGCCGGAGAUCGCGGGGGACGGGAGCGCGCGAAGGGCGGGCGGCUAAGGGCUAGGGCUGGCUCGGUCUCCGCGAGGUGAGGGACGGAUCGCAACGGUCGGCUCGGUCGCCGUGGGGACGGACGGGCGGGGGCGGGGGUGGGAAUGGAAGGGCCCGUGGGCGAUGGGCUGGGCUGACCCGCCGCCUGCCUCUCGUCACGGCACGGGGGACUGGGGUGGGGUGGGGACGUGGGGUGGGGCGCGCGGCCGCACGGGCCCCUCUUGUACGGGUGGCCGGGUGGGCGGGUCAGUGGGAAAAGGUGACGCCUGACUGCCUGAGUCCUGACGCGGGAGGAAGGCUCCGACACGGUGCGGCGGGGCUCGGUGGCUGGUGGGGUGGUGUCGUCGUCUCGUUGGGAGGAAGGGGAUGCGGUUUCCAGAACCCAGAGGGGGGUUUGGUUUGGUGAGGCGACGCCUGUAGUCUCGUACGGGCAAUGCAAUCGACGAGCGGGGGACGUUAAUUACGAGAAUUAAAUAUAAAUUAAUUAUAAAAUUUAAAUAUAAAUUAAUUAUAAAACUAAUUGUACAAAUGGAGUCUAAUUCGCGAGACAAAUCUAUUAAGACUAAUUAAUCCAUCAUUAGCAAAUAAUUAUUGUAGCACCACAUUAUUAAAUCAUGAACUAAUUAGGUUUAAUAGAUUCAUCUCGCGAAUUAGACUCUAUCUAUGCAAUUAAUUUGUAAUUAGACUAUGUUUAAUACUUUAAUUAGUAUCAAACAUUCGAUGUGAUAUGUGGGCCUGUGCAUUUCGGGCAACCAGGUUAUCAAGCUUUUGUCCGUUUUCUUUUUAUGGAAAAUACUUCCACUACAUUUCAAAAGCACAGCCACGGGUGAUCCAGAAACAGAAGAAAUUGCGUAAACAAAACAUGCAAUUCUAUUUAAAAUAUGCAUAUGAUCAAGUAUACACCACAUGAUUCACAACUGCAAAAUAUCAUAAACCUAGCAAUUUGGUUUUUGAUAGUCUAUUUACACAAACAGAUUUGCCUCUCCUUCAUCCCUUCAAUCAAAAACUGAACAUUCAUGACUCGUGAUUGUGCGGGCAUCUCACAAAAAAAGAACUACCAGCAUAUUAUCAGAGUGCACAUUACUAUACUUCGUACUUGCACAACUGAUGAGCUCCUUUCGUGACCUGCCAUACAGCAAGAAAAAAUGGGACUACAUCAGUUAACAUGGACAUAAUAAAAGGGCAAACAAAUAAAAAUAAGUUGGAUGACCUGAAGAACUAGCAUGUGUAUCCUAAUUAUCAACAGAGGCACUCCAAAUAUAAAAUGUCAUCAGAAAUUGGAUGUUUUGCUUGUUUUGUAGCCAAAAAAAAAAUGCCUAACUAAAAAUAUUACUUUGCCUAACUAAUAAGAGUGUAUUGCCUAGGCACAGUAAGUAAAUGGCAUUUCAAUAAUAAAAUGAUGCAAACCAAUCUGCGACUAUCAAACUGCUGAAUUGAAUAAGAAAAUAAGGACCAAAGAACUGCACAAACAAGCUUAACAGAUAAGCCAAAAUCAAAAUUGCUUCCGAUGUGGUUGAGCAAAAUCAACCAAACCCACAUGCAGAUACAAUUGGAAAUCAACCACAGAUCAAACCGAAAGCAAAUGGCUGCAAGCUGCUAUGGGAACACAGAUCAAAAUGAGAGCAGAGGACAUGCUAAGGAAACAGAUGGGCUACUAAUCAAACAUCGAGCCUUGUACUGCUGGUGCCAAACAGUGCAAGUAUAAAUAACUAAACUACUCCCAAACCACUCCAAUAGUUGUCACAACUAAACUACUUGAAAAGAUAAAUCAGAAAUAUUUCCUUACCCCCACCUUUUACAUCCACAUCAAUAUCCAUUAUCAACCGUAGUUACUCAAGCUAGUCAUCUAGCUAUCCAACUCAGUACCGCAAAAAAGCAAAAUAACAGAUAGGCAAAACUAGUGAUGCUUAUAUGAUAAAAAAUGCAGGAUCUAGCGCAAAUGCUGCCAUGCCAGGAAAAAAGCCUAUAUAUAAUUGAGGGUGAAAAACAUGACAUAUCAUUCCGGUUAAAUAUAUGUGCUUGAAUAUCAGAAUCAGAAUGACACAUCACACAUAUCACAUCCAGUUCUGCAAGUGACUAAGAAUAGGACAAAACACUAGAAACAUGUUUUAUCUAAAUCAGGAUAUGUAAAUUGCUUAUCGGAAGCAUUAAAAUGCUAGAAGGACUAAGAUAAUUGCCAAUGAAAAACAAUUAGCAUACUAAUUUGAACAUAGAAAAUGAAAACCUUUUUGGGGGGCACAUAUGACACUGGAUGAUAGCGCACAUCCAUGUGCAUCUACAGUCCUAUAGGCAUUAUAUCAAAUCUCUGGGAAAAAAAAUCUGUAGUGAAAAUUACCAGAAUAAAAAUUGAGUAUGGUGCUUGGGUUAUAGGUGACAUUUUAGUUCUAGGUUACAUUGUAAAAACAUCAAGUGGUUGUCUAGUGGAUAAAAAGCCAAUAGCACAAAAGCACCAAGCACAAAAUUAAUCAGUAGAAAGCCUGAACAAAAUAGAAUAUCGUGAGAACACUGAAAAUGCUAAUAUCACAACACAAAAACUCAGCUUAAAAACCUAACUUGCAAACUCAUAUCAGAGCAUGAAAUUAAGCAGAUAAAUAAAUCUCCACCACCAAGAAACCAAUACUAAGUUGUUCAUCGGGGUUUAACGAAGUUGAAAGGCAGCGUAAAAGAAAGCUAAUAGACAAAACUCUGCUGACAGAUUUUUUUUACUGCUUCAAGUUUGGUGCUCAAUCUUCUGUCAUCCAAACAAUCACGUUCUAUGCAUGCAUAUUGUAUAUAUUCAAAAAAAUAAUUUACCUGCACAUUUUAGCCCACCAAGCCAUUGCUAUAUCGAGCUAGUAGUACUGUAGUAGUACCAGAAUUUAGUAACUAAUUUCUCAUGUUAAAAUUCUAAGCAUGAAUCUAGAUAUAUUUGAAAAAACUACACCUUUUAUCACAAAAAAACCAUUGCCAUCUCAAGCUAGAAGUAGUAUCUACCAGAAGUUAGUAACUAUCUCAUGUUAAAACUUGUUCGAGCUUAGCAUAAACACUGCAUCAAACAACCAAGACAUGCACACACUUCAGCUAACACCUCUCAAAAUGGUAUAUCAACACAUCUCAUGUCUUACCGCUCUUUGGACUAUUUGUUAAAGAUAAAUAUCAGAAAUGUCAUGAUAAAAAAAUAGUUAAGAAUCAAAGCUGCGACCAAUAUUGCUACCAUACAAUCUCAACUACCUAUUUUUCCCAAUUAUCUCAGUUGAUAUAUUGCUCAGAAAAAUAACCAAACUGUGCGGCAACUGAAUUGUGAACCUACGGACAUGACGUCUGGAGCACAACCGGCAUCCGCACGAAUAAAGUGGUGAUUUGCAGCACGAACUCCCUCCAUGUCAACCACUGUGUCCCAGAGCAGAUCUCGUAGCACCAUGGCAUGCUCGUCUCCACCCUUGGCGCACCUAACAACACCACCAUCAGAAGUUAUAAAACCUGAAACACACCUCAAAAUAGAGGAGAACAGACAUGGGGACUCCAGCAGAGAGUAUGCGCGAGGCGAUGGAAGGUAGAGGACAGGUCCUCACCUUCUCAAGGUACGGAAUC